This 525-nucleotide ribosomal RNA is filed under the name uncultured bacterium. RNAcentral describes it as "bacterial SSU rRNA". It matches the Rfam family "Bacterial small subunit ribosomal RNA", at positions 984 to 1509 of the family's 1533-position model. The record is from RNAcentral.
ACAUCCAGAGAAUUUAGCAGAGAUGCUUUAGUGCCUUCGGGAACUCUGAGACAGGUGCUGCAUGGCUGUCGUCAGCUCGUGUUGUGAAAUGUUGGGUUAAGUCCCGNAACGAGCGCAACCCUUAUCCUUUGUUGCCAGCACGUAAUGGUGGGAACUCAAAGGAGACUGCCGGUGAUAAACCGGAGGAAGGUGGGAUGACGUCAAGUCAUCAUGGCCCUUACGAGUAGGGCUACACACGUGCUACAAUGGCGCAUACAAAGAGAAGCGACCUCGCGAGAGCAAGCGGACCUCAUAAAGUGCGUCGUAGUCCGGAUUGGAGUCUGCAACUCGACUCCAUGAAGUCGGAAUCGCUAGUAAUCGUAAAUCAGAAUGUUACGGUGAAUACGUUCCCGGGCCUUGUACACACCGCCCGUCACACCAUGGGAGUGGGUUGCAAAAGAAGUAGAUAGCUUAACCUUCGGGAGGGCGUUUACCACUUUGUGAUUCAUGACUGGGGUGAAGUCGUAACAAGGUAGGCGUAGUGCU